GAUGAACGCUGGCGGCGUGCUUAACACAUGCAAGUCGAACGGAAAGGCUCCUGCUUGCAGGGGUACUCGAGUGGCGAACGGGUGAGUAACACGUGGGUGAUCUGCCCUGCACUUCGGGAUAAGCCUGGGAAACUGGGUCUAAUACCGGAUAGGACGAUGGUUUGGAUGCCAUUGUGGAAAGUUUUUCGGUGUGGGAUGAGCUCGCGGCCUAUCAGCUUGUUGGUGGGGUAAUGGCCUACCAAGGCGUCGACGGGUAGCCGGCCUGAGAGGGUGUACGGCCACAUUGGGACUGAGAUACGGCCCAGACUCCUACGGGAGGCAGAAGUGGGGAAUAUUGCACAAUGGGCGCAAGCCUGAUGCAGCGAAGCCGCGUGGGGGAUGACGGCCUUCGGGUUGUAAACUCCUUUCGCUAGGGACGAAGCGCAAGUGACGGUACCUGGAGAAGAAGCACCGGCUAACUACGUG
RNAcentral lists this ribosomal RNA (465 nucleotides) under uncultured bacterium. RNAcentral describes it as "partial 16S ribosomal RNA". It matches the Rfam family "Bacterial small subunit ribosomal RNA", at positions 28 to 507 of the family's 1533-position model. The record is from RNAcentral.